CUUGGCGCGGAGGAGCGGCACUUGGCGAGGGCUGCGGGCUGCUGCUGGAGGGCAAACGGCUUCCGCAUCCUCCCGGCCGCCGAAGGUGCAAUCCUAUGCAUGUUUACUUGGAAUAAGCCAUAUACCCAAUGAGCGUUGGCUUCAACUCUUUAACAACACGGCCUGAACAAUCUGCCGUCCACUCUUCUGUCUUCUACAUGUUGUAACAUCCAGCCUAUUGAAGGGUUGUGGUGAACUCGAAAGCUUACAGAACUAAAUUCCCUUGCCUCAGUGAAGAUUGGGCCAUGUCUCAGAAAAAGAACAAGAUUUGCAGAAAAACAACACUGGGACCACAACUGACAUCUACUUCUGUCUGAAGGAGUCAGCUGUCCUUAUUCUGCAUCUGCAUGCAAGAGUGUUUCUGUCUCUCUCACAGUGCAAAAGGCAUUGGGAAGGGGCACGUUUGCAUCAGGGAAAGAAAGCGGAGAUGUAAGAAGCUGCCUUUUUGUGAUUAAAUUGGGUAUGGGAAAGGAAGGAAAUACAGGGCUAGCGUCUGCCUACCUCCUUCUCUUUUGACCACUGAUAAGGGAGUCUCCCACCCAUUUGGUCGCCCAUUGAAGGCUGAGUAGGAUUGUUUUCUCCUACGAUACAGUGGGAUAGGUUGGGGGUUGCCUAUUCUACCUGAAAACUGUAACCGGAAUUCUCUGGCUUUGGAGACACACGGACAUUAGCAAGUUCACUUCUUUGCAACACCUCUCCCAUUUUCUGACUGGUAUAAAGACUCAAAUCUCCAUUCCUAGUCAUAUAUGAUUUAAUUUAUUAGAUUUAUAUUCUGCCCUCCCCACACCAGCAGGCUCAGAGCGGAUUACAAUUUACAAGAGAUGAUGAAGAGAUCUUGACUCUAAAAAGCUUAUACCGUGGAAACUCUUAUUAGUCUUUAAGAUGCUACUGAACCUGAACCUUGCCCAUCUACUUUCCGUACAUAGAAUCACAGAAUCAUAGAGUUGGAAGGAGCCAUACAGACCAUCUAGUCCAACCCCCUGCCCAGUGCAGGAUCAGCCUAAAGCAUCUCUGACAAGUAUUCAUCCAGCCUCUUCUUGAAAAUUGUCAGUGAGGGGGAGCUCACCACCUCCCUAGGCAGCUGAUUCCACUUUUGAACUACUCUGACUGUGAAAAAGUUUUUCCUAAUAUCCAGCCGGUACCUUUGUGCAUGUAAUUUAAGCCCAUUGCUUCGGGUCCUAUCCUCUGCUGCCCACUGGAACAGCUCCUUGCCCUCCUCCAAAUGACAGCCUUUCAGAUAUUUAAAGAGAGUGAUCAUGUCCCCCUCAGUCUCCUCCAAACUAAACAUUCCCAAGGCCCUCAGCCUUUCCUCGUAGGGCUCAGUCUCCAGACCCCUGAUCAUCCUCGUCGCUGUCCUCAGCACCCUCUCGAUUUUGUCCACAUCCUUUUUGAAGUGAGGCCUCCAGAACUGCACACAAUGCUCCAGGUGCAGCCUGACCAAGGCAGUAUAGAGAGGGGCUAUGACCUCCUGUGAUUUCGACGCUAUGGCCCCUUUGAUACAACCUAGGAUUGAAUUGGCCUUUUUUGCCACCGCAUCACACUGACUGCUCAUAUUUAGUCUACAGUCCACUCUUACUCCAAGAUCUUUCGCAUACACUAGUACCCAGAAGUGUAUCCUCCAUCCUGUAUUUGUGCUUCCCAUUUUUGUGGCCCAGAUGAAAUACUGUGUACUUGUCUUUGUAGAAUUGCAUCCUAUUCACAGCUGCCCACUUCUCCAGAGUAUUCAGGUCUUGUUGAAUUUUAAUUCUAUCUUCUUGGGUGUUUGCUACUCCUCCCAAUUUGGUAUCAUCAGCAAAUUUAAUGAGCAGCCCUUCCUUAGAAACAAAACGGAUAGCUAUAUUAGAUGCAUGAAGUGAGCUAUGCCUCCAAAAACCUAAUGCUGGAACAAGUUCUAUUUAACUCAUUUUAUUUUCACCAUUAAUUUUAAAAAAAGUCUUCUGCAGAAUUCUAUUCUUUCCUGCUAACAUGCCUUUUUGCUCAUCUUCUUUGAAGCUUUCUGCAUAUUCCAUCAGUCUUGUUCAACUUUCUUGCCUCCUCUUUUAUCCUAAGUGGUCUAUGCAGAAGUAGGACCCAUGUUAUUCAGGAGGGCUUACUCCCAAGAACAUGUUCUUAGGAUUGUACCUUUAGCCUUUGGCGUUCCCACCUACCUAGCAGGCUUGAGUUCCUGUUUCUCUCACAUAGUCUUCUGAUACCUAGGACCUGUGGAAAGUUUACUCAGGCACACUAGGCUUUUACUUCUAUCAAACAACAACACGGUCUGUUCACCUUCUACUCCUGAUUUUGUGUCUAUACCAGGACCCCACAGCAGCUCAGCCAAUGAACAGGAGGAUCCCCGCAAUGGGCACAUCACUGAUAAAAUAGUUUGCAGCUUAAAAUGAAUGUUUGUGUGAACUGGAUUAAGAUUUUAAUGGAUUUCUGUUGAUAUCCAUAAGUG
Molecule: long non-coding RNA, 2473 nt
Organism: Eublepharis macularius
Lineage: Eukaryota; Metazoa; Chordata; Lepidosauria; Squamata; Eublepharidae
Exons: 3
Source: RefSeq, a predicted model, not a curated record